Callorhinus ursinus (northern fur seal) is the source of this 1529-nucleotide long non-coding RNA. RefSeq lists it as uncharacterized. The record is from RefSeq and is a predicted model, not a curated record. Lineage: Eukaryota; Metazoa; Chordata; Mammalia; Carnivora; Otariidae.
GGUGCAACCACUCUCAGCCACCUUCUCCCAGGCUGGAGAUGCACCAUGGGACGUAGGGCAGAUACUUCAGUCUCUGCCUUCACACCUCUUAGAGAAUCGGUGUAAAGAGCCCAACGUGCCCACUGCGGGACAGGCCACACAGGUGUCUCCUGGCCCUCUUCACAUCACUCUGCUGGAAUUGGGACUCGGAACCAACACAAGGCAAUGCGGACACUCUGGCUGCUGUGAAUGGCAAGGCCAUUUGUCCCAGUCCCAGGAGACUGUUCUGCCAGCAUCCAGGACACUGGCAGGCUAACCCAUUAACUCACAAGUAGGGGGAAAUCUCAGACUCACCACAGCUCCUACCAGCAUCGUAGGUGUCCCCAGGAACACGGCUUUCCCCCUGGGCUCAGGCCAUGUCUGCUGAGGCUGGCUGGGUCAUAAAAGCCUCAAGAAUCACACUAGAAACCCCCUCAGGUAGAAGCUGGUGGCGAAACAGACCGUAGCAGCAGGUGCAUUUCCCCCUUGAUCCCCGGGCAGAGCACCAUGACUGUGGCUUCGGGGAGAGGAUGCUGGCUUAAGACCCACUACCUGCUCUUCGGCAACUUUCUAAGGCUUCUUUGCAGCUUCCAGGGGAAGAAAGGGAAGACGCACAGGCUUUGUUCUCCUGGGACAGCUCAUGAGAACGGGCCACUGCUAGAGGAUGUGAGAAUACCUCUAUGUAACAGUCUGGCGCAUGGAUAUCAUCCCUCCUGGCCACCAGCUCCCAGCGGCUGUCCCCUCACCAGUCCACCGCCAGGCCAUGAGGCCCCCGAGGUCAGCACUCUCUCUGCUGAGGCUAUCUGCCCACUCUCGAGCACAGGCUCAACCCCUGGAUUCUGCUGCUCAACUAACUAAAAAUGAAAACUAUCAGUCUGCCGACUGUGAGAAAUGGAAUCGGGAAGAUGGGGACCAGAGGCCCUGGGGAUGCUUCCUGGAUACAGCACUGACCACUCAGCUCCAUCUGGAAAUCCCAAGGCUAAAGCUUCAGGAGCAGGAACAGCUGGGAGGGCACACGGCCCUUACCAUCUCAGCCCUAAGCCCCUUCACAGCCACACACAGAAUGAAGCCCCAGGACACGCCUUAGCUACCUAACACUCUGACUGCUUUAGACCAGCCCCCAGGAGAGGCCAGUAGUCAACACCUAGACCAAUCUCAAGUGGCUGCGAUGUGCAGCUUCUGGGCAUCUCCACGACCAACCCGUUAGCCCAGGACUUCAGCAUCCAGCCCAGCUUUGCUCCUCCGACUCCCCUGCACCCUGAGCUCCCCCAACUCCCCUGCACCACUGCGGCUGCAGACGCCUGCACUCUACCCUCUAGUGGCCACAGUGGGAACAGCAGGAAGCCGAAUCUGGCCGUUGUCCUCAAGGGGAACCGAGAUGCACAAGGUCACUAGCUGGACUGUCCUUUCUCUUCCUCCCAUCUUUUUGUGGAUGGUUGUAAAUCUUUUACAGUGAUGCAAAAGCCUAAGCCACGUUUCUACCACCAUUUAAAUUGUUACUUCAGUCAAAA